RNAcentral lists this ribosomal RNA (341 nucleotides) under uncultured bacterium. Its description in RNAcentral is "partial 16S ribosomal RNA". It matches the Rfam family "Bacterial small subunit ribosomal RNA", at positions 354 to 796 of the family's 1533-position model. The record is from RNAcentral.
GUCGGGAGUCUUGCACAAUGGGGGAAACCCUGAUGCAGCGACGUCGCGUGUGGGAUGAAGUAUUUCGGUAUGUAAACCACUUUUGCGGGGGGCGAAAAAAAUGACGGUACCCCGCGAAUAAGCCCCGGCUAACUACGUGCCAGCAGCCGCGGUAAUACGUAGGGGGCGAGCGUUGCUCGGAUUGACUGGGCGUAAAGCGCGCGUAGGCGGUCCAUUAAGUGUGCGGUGAAAUGCGUAGAUAUUAGGAGGAACACCAGUGGCGAAGGCGGCUUACUGGACUGUAACUGACGUUGAGGCUCGAAAGCGUGGGGAGCAAACAGGAUUAGAUACCCGGGUAGUCC